GCUGUAGCUCAGUCAGUAGAGCAUAAGACUCUUAAUCUCAGGUUCAUGGGUUUGAGUCCCAUGUUGGGCA
Molecule: transfer RNA, 70 nt
Filed under: Podarcis lilfordi (Lilford's wall lizard)
Lineage: Eukaryota; Metazoa; Chordata; Lepidosauria; Squamata; Lacertidae
Description: tRNA.Lys
Rfam family: tRNA (bases 5-62)
About the family: Transfer RNA (tRNA) molecules are approximately 80 nucleotides in length. Their secondary structure includes four short double-helical elements and three loops (D, anti-codon, and T loops). Further hydrogen bonds mediate the characteristic L-shaped molecular structure. tRNAs have two regions of fundamental functional importance: the anti-codon, which is responsible for specific mRNA codon recognition, and the 3' end, to which the tRNAs corresponding amino acid is attached (by aminoacyl-tRNA synthetases). tRNAs cope with the degeneracy of the genetic code in two manners: having more than one tRNA (with a specific anti-codon) for a particular amino acid; and 'wobble' base-pairing, i.e. permitting non-standard base-pairing at the 3rd anti-codon position.
Source: RNAcentral